RNAcentral lists this ribosomal RNA (1728 nucleotides) under Triticum aestivum (bread wheat). Its description in RNAcentral is "partial small subunit ribosomal RNA". The record is from RNAcentral. Lineage: Eukaryota; Viridiplantae; Streptophyta; Magnoliopsida; Poales; Poaceae.
AUGGCGAGCCCGUGGGACAGCCCUUCGAGCAGCCUGUGGGGCACGCUGGGGCAGGCCUCCAACGUGGCGCAGCUGGUGGGCGUGGACGCGCUGGGGCUGGUCUACAUGGUCGUGCAGGCCGCCCUGGCGGCGCGCCGUCACCGGGACGCCUGCGUGCGGCUCGCGCAGCACGUGGAGCUCGUCGGCGGCCUGCUCAGGGAGCUGGAGCUCGCGGAGCUGAUGCGGCGGGAGGCCACCAGGCGGCCGCUGGAGCAGCUCGGCGGCGCGCUGCGGCGGUGCUACGCGCUCGUCACGGCGUGCCAGGACUGCGGGUACCUCCGCCGACUGCUUCUGGGCACACGGAUGGCCGACGAGCUCCGCGCUGCGCAGCACGAGAUCGACAUGUUCAUCCGCCUCAUCCCGCUCAUCUCCCUCGUCGACAAUUCGACAAACAGUCGUCGUGCCAAGCAGGCCGAGGAGGGGGUACUCAGUGUUGUCACAGACAAUUCAAGUAGUCACAUCAGGAGUGUGUUGAAACCAUCUCCAGCAAGAGCUUUGGAAUUCUCCGAAAUACAGGUUCAAGGAGCUACUGAACUUUGCACUGUUGGAAAAAAACCAUCUGUAGGAAAAGUUGACCUGCAAGAACAGAAAAUUUUCAAUAUUGAAGAACUCGCUGAGCUUUGUACCCGUAUAGAAGAAACUUGUGUGGGAUUUGCAAAGUUCAACUUCUUUCAGAUCGUGGAUGCAACAGACAAUUUCUCAGAGAGGAGAAUACUUGGGUUUGGUGGAUUCGGUACAGUUUAUAAGGGUCAGUUGCCCAACGGACUUAUGAUUGCCAUCAAAAGACUUGAUGAGCAUGCAACGAUAUUUGAUUUCGACAGUGAAUUGCAGCUUGCAAAGCUUCAGCAUGCCAAUCUGAUUAGGUUGCUGGGGUGGUGCAUUCAUGGGAAAGAAAGGAUUCUUGUCUAUGAGUUCAUGCAAAAUAGUUCCUUGGACCAUUACAUAUCUGACAGAACAAAAGGACAAUUGCUAGACUGGUCUAAGCGAUUCAAGAUAAUUACAGGGUUAACAGAGGGCCUUGUUUACCUGCAUAAAGGUUCCAUGUCCUGCCUUGUCCAUAGAGACUUGAAACCACAUAAUAUCCUCUUGGAUUAUAACAUGAGCCCAAAGAUUACUGAUUUUGGGUCAGCUAGGACACUGAGUUCAGAUAUAGCAGAAGGGUGCACGAGUAGGGUCGUGGGAACCAGUGGUUACAAAGCUCCAGAGUAUGCAUCUCGAGGAGUUUACUCGACGAAGACAGAUGUGUUCAGCUUUGGUGUUUUGGUUCUGGUGAUUAUUAGUGGCCGAAAGAAUACCAUACUCGAGAAGCAAGAGGAUACUGUUGGUGAUCUUGUACGAGAUGCCUGGCAUAUGUGGAAGGACCAAAGGUUGCAUGAGCUUGUGGAUCCAUUGUUAGGGGACAGAUAUGAAGUCGCUGAGAUAAAGAGAUGUGCUCAGGUGGCACUGCUUUGUGCUCAGGAAGAUCCAGCAGACCGGCCCGCCAUGACAGGUGUUGCUGCAAUGCUGAAUUCUGAAAGCAUAAGCUUACCAAUGGAGCCUAAGCAGCCUUCUGCGCUGAUCCAUGGGUGCACCGACAGAGAGACGACAUCGACAUACAUUGGCCAAUCAAGCAGGACAAUAGACAUAACGAUAACGAGUUCAGCUCCAAUGUCGACUAGAGUUCGAAUCAUUCUAGACCCGGAGGUUUGA